Wyeomyia smithii (pitcher-plant mosquito) is the source of this 892-nucleotide long non-coding RNA. RefSeq lists it as uncharacterized. The record is from RefSeq and is a predicted model, not a curated record. NCBI's taxonomy places the organism in Eukaryota, Metazoa, Arthropoda, Insecta, Diptera, Culicidae. The transcript is spliced from 3 exons.
GUGAACGUGAAUAUUUACGCGUCUGCCAAUUUGCUCCAUACUAGGGGCCAUCGCAGCGCAUAGCCCGCACUCAAAACAACCACACGCGUGUUUACAAUUGUUGAACUCUUCGCGAAGGUGGUUAACGGAAAUUAGAAAUAGUAUCUCGAAACGAACAAAUCGGUUUGCUGAUCGGUAUUGGCGCUAAGGGGAUCUUGUGUUAUUUGGUCAUUUUUUAACUCGACGAAGGCGAACUAUUGAAAUGUGUCGAUUUUAUAACCGCAAAAGAUAUGCAUUUUUUAAAGCACCGUUUAAUCACAAACACGCCAAACGGCAUGUGUGCACCGGUUUUGGUUUCGGAGCAAACCUCUUUCCGGCUGAAAUCAACCCUGAGUUGAACAACUUUUGAUUCGGAGGCAGGGCCGCCUGGUGGUGCUACAAUUACACGGUGCUACAAUUACAUAUAUGUUUUAAGGUUCUCGAGAAAAUAGUCCAGUUUUGCCAUCUCUGUCGAACAACGGUUCCGGGUUGCAACUUGAAAGCCUGAAUGUUCCGAGUGCAAUGGAGUAGCACCAGCAGCAGCCGCCGCUCCCGUUGCCAUCGUCACCGCCAGGGAUCUCGUUUACCUUCAAAUCGAUUCGGUUGUGCUUGCGCCGUUACACCCUUUUGAACGCCGUUCGGGUGGGACGUGUGUUGUAGAGUAGUUUGGGGUUCGGCACAAUGUUCACUGAACUCUAGGUGCAGUUUGGUCGAAAAAGCUCUAUAGCUUUUCAUAGUAAAUCGUUGGGCGAUGUCUUCACUAAAUUUUAUUCAUUACAGAGCACAGUGAACCUUCUCGAAUAACAUGCGUUAAUAAAAUACAAACUCUCUGGAAAUAAUUUAGUAGCCCUGAAUAUAUUUAAUAAUUUCAUAA